AGCAGCCGCGGUAAUUCCAGCUCCAAUAGCGUAUAUUAAAGUUGUUGCAGUUAAAAAGCUCGUAGUUGAACUUCGGGGUUUACCCAUUGGUCAGGCUUAAUUGUCUGCACUGGUGAGAUGAAUCUCUACCUUCUGAGGAACUUUCAUGCCAUUUAUUUGGUGUGAUGGGAAAUCAGGACUGUUACUUUGAAAAAUUAGAGUGUUUAAAGCAGGCUAACGUCUGAAUACAUUAGCAUGGAAUAAUGAAAUAGGACGGACUGAUUCUAUUUCGUUGGUUUCUAGGAUCACCGUAAUGAUUAAUAGGGACAGUUGGGGGCAUUAGUAUUCAAUUGUCAGAGGCGAAAUUCUUGGAUUUAUUGAAGACUAACUACUGCGAAAGCAUUUGCCAAGGACGUUUUCAUUAAUCAAGAACGAAAGUUAGGGGAUCGAAGACGAUCAGAUACCGUCGUAGUCUUAACCAUAAACUAUGCCGACUAGGAAUCGGGCGAUGUUAAUUUUUAAUGACUCGAUUGGCACCUUACG
Molecule: ribosomal RNA, 522 nt
Filed under: uncultured Glomeromycotina
Lineage: Eukaryota; Fungi; Glomeromycota
Description: SSU rRNA
Rfam family: Eukaryotic small subunit ribosomal RNA
Source: RNAcentral